RNAcentral lists this ribosomal RNA (305 nucleotides) under uncultured bacterium. RNAcentral describes it as "bacterial SSU rRNA". It matches the Rfam family "Bacterial small subunit ribosomal RNA", at positions 338 to 660 of the family's 1533-position model. The record is from RNAcentral.
CCUACGGGAGGCAGCAGUGGGGAAUAUUGCACAAUGGGGGAAACCCUGAUGCAGCAACGCCGCGUGAGUGAAGAAGUCAUUCGUGAUGUAAAGCUCUAUCAGCAGGGAAGAAAAUGACGGUACCUGAGUAAGAAGCCCCGGCUAACUACGUGCCAGCAGCCGCGGUAAUACGUAGGGGGCAAGCGUUAUCCGGAUUUACUGGGUGUAAAGGGAGCGUAGACGGAUUGAUAAGUUAGAGGUGAAAUGUCCGAGCUUAACUCGGGAACUGCCUCUAAUACUGUUGAUCUAGAGAGUAGAUGCGGUAG